This 191-nucleotide small nuclear RNA is filed under the name Piliocolobus tephrosceles (Ugandan red Colobus). RNAcentral describes it as "U2 spliceosomal RNA (ENSPTEG00000017113.1)". It matches the Rfam family "U2 spliceosomal RNA". Rfam says of the family: U2 is a small nuclear RNA (snRNA) component of the spliceosome (involved in pre-mRNA splicing). The record is from Rfam by way of RNAcentral. Lineage: Eukaryota; Metazoa; Chordata; Mammalia; Primates; Cercopithecidae.
GUUGCUUCAUGGCCUUUUGGCUAAGUUCAAGUGUAGUAUCUGUCCUUAUCAGUUUAAUAACUGAUACAUCCUCUAUCUGAGGACAAUACAUUAAAUGGAUUUCUGGAGCGGGGAGAUGGAAUGAGAACCAGUUUCCUCCACUCCAUGCAUCAACCUGGUAUUGCAGUACCUCCAGAAAUGGUGCACCCCUC